UGUGUGAGAAGCCAUUUGUCAGGUUGUGAGGAUAUCCAAGCAGCCCAUGGAGAGGCUCAUAUAGAGAAGAACUGAGUCUGUUUGCAACAGCCACCUCUGGUUUGCCAAACAUGAUGCGCCAUCUUGGAAGGAGAUUCUCCAGCCCAGUCGAGCUUUCAGAUGACUAUAGCCCAGCUAAUAUCUUGACUUCAGCCUUAUGACAGACUGAUGAGACCCACAGAGGACACCAUGCUGUGGACGUAAGGGGCACUGAGUCAGUCUGGGUCCUGUCACUCCAGGCUGAAGGAGCCCGUGGGGAGUAGUGACCAGAUCCCAGGGACAGCUGCAGCUAGGAGAGAGCCUGGGACAGGAGACUCGGCCCCCCAGAGGUCAAAGGCAGCCAGAAACCAGAGGGCAAGAAAACCUCUUUGUAUAGACCACUGAGCUCAGCCUCCUGGAUCUCAGAGCAGAGCGGAGACGGCUGUAGAGUGCAGCUGGAGAGGCCAGCAGAGAAUAUUCUGCAGACUUGUUCUGAAAAAUAACUCCCAGGGUUAAAGCUAUUAUAAGAAUGUCUAUCUUUUCCUGCCCUUGGACAUCAGAGCUCUUGGUUCUCGGGCCUUCAGGCUUGAACUGAAUUAUACUGCCAGCUCUCCUGGUUCUCCGGCUUGCAGCUGGCAGAUCAUGGGACUUCCUGGCCUCUGUAACCAUGUGAGCAAUUCCUUUAAUAAAUCUGUCUGUAUAUAUCUCUA
Long non-coding RNA from Lutra lutra (Eurasian river otter), 728 nucleotides. RefSeq lists it as uncharacterized. Lineage: Eukaryota; Metazoa; Chordata; Mammalia; Carnivora; Mustelidae. The record is from RefSeq and is a predicted model, not a curated record. The transcript has 4 exons.